CCUACGGGUGGCAGCAGUGGGGAAUAUUGGGCAAUGGACGCAAGUCUGACCCAGCAACGCCGCGUGAAGGAAGAAGGCUUUCGGGUUGUAAACUUCUUUUAAGGGGGAAGAGGAGAAGACGGUACCCCUUGAAUAAGCCACGGCUAACUACGUGCCAGCAGCCGCGGUAAUACGUAGGUGGCAAGCGUUGUCCGGAUUUACUGGGUGUAAAGGGCGUGCAGCCGGGCCGACAAGUCAGAUGUGAAAUCCGCGGGCUUAACCCGGGAGCUGCAUUUGAAACUAUAGGUCUUGAGUGCCGGAGAGGAAAGCGGAAUUCCUGGUGUAGCGGUGAAAUGCGUAGAUAUAAGGAAGAACACCAGUGGCGAAGGCGGAUUGCUGGGCGGUAACUGACGGUGAGGCGCGAAAGCGUGGGGAGCAAACAGGAUUAGAUACCCCAGUAGUC
RNAcentral lists this ribosomal RNA (442 nucleotides) under uncultured bacterium. RNAcentral's name for it is "partial 16S ribosomal RNA". It matches the Rfam family "Bacterial small subunit ribosomal RNA", at positions 338 to 795 of the family's 1533-position model. The record is from RNAcentral.